RNAcentral lists this unclassified non-coding RNA (310 nucleotides) under Hevea brasiliensis (rubber tree). The record is from RNAcentral. Lineage: Eukaryota; Viridiplantae; Streptophyta; Magnoliopsida; Malpighiales; Euphorbiaceae.
AAAUUUAGGGUUUUGAAAGUUUUAAAAACCUCUAAAAACUCUGAAAAACCUUAUUCUCCCUCCAAAAUAAGUUUAUAUGUCUUAAUUAUAUUAAAAAACUUUACAAUACUUCCAAAAACUUGCUCCAAACGAAACGUAAUUGGUUAACACUAAAUAAUAGUAAUAAUAAGUGAAUAAUAAAAAAUGGGAAAUUAAAUCAUGGUCUGAUUGAACUGAUGCAAGCCUUUAUAAUAAAGCCCAUAAACUGCCCGGUGAGGCACCGCAGUCCCUAGCCUGGGUCAAAAAAGGCCUUAAUUUUUUCAGAAGGUAA